Molecule: non-coding RNA, 301 nt
Organism: Notechis scutatus (mainland tiger snake)
Lineage: Eukaryota; Metazoa; Chordata; Lepidosauria; Squamata; Elapidae
Source: RefSeq, a predicted model, not a curated record
UGCUUCAAAGAUCAUUGCUGUUUUGUUUCCCCAUGCCCUUACGGUCUGAUUCUGUUUACUCAGACUUUGAACAGGAAAAGGAGAGGUAUGCAGUUUGGGAGAAGGUGGGCAAUCGUUUUGCUUGUUGUUGUUGGGGUUUUUUGUUUUUUUUCAUUUUAGCAAGACUUCAGCCUCCUAUAAAUCUCCUGCUUUUCAUACAAGCGCCAGCUGGAUCCAACUCUUCCCCGCCGUAGCUGGAUAAGAAAACGUCUUCAGAAACCUUCCAAGGAACAGAGAAGAAACUGCCCAUCUGGCACCAACA